CAUAAGUCAUCGGUUCAAAUCCGAUAAAGGGCU
Molecule: transfer RNA, 33 nt
Filed under: Aegilops peregrina
Lineage: Eukaryota; Viridiplantae; Streptophyta; Magnoliopsida; Poales; Poaceae
Description: partial tRNA-Thr
Source: RNAcentral